Molecule: ribosomal RNA, 406 nt
Filed under: uncultured bacterium
Lineage: Bacteria
Description: partial 16S ribosomal RNA
Rfam family: Bacterial small subunit ribosomal RNA
Source: RNAcentral
AUUGAACGCUGGCGGCAGGCCUAACACAUGCAAGUCGAGCGAGCGGCGGACGGGUGAGUAAUGUCUGGGAAACUGCCCGAUGGAGGGGGAUAACUACUGGAAACGGUAGCUAAUACCGCAUACCAUCGGAUGUGCCCAGAUGGGAUUAGCUAGUAGGUGGGGUAACGGCUCACCUAGGCGACGAUCCCUAGCUGGUCUGAGAGGAUGACCAGCCACACUGGAACUGAGACACGGCCCAGACUCCUACGGGAGGCAGCAGUGGGUAAUAUUGCACAAUGGGCGCAAUCCUGAUGCAGCCAUGACGCGUGUAUGAAGAAGGCCUUCGGGUUGUAAAGUACUUUCAGCGGGGAGGCGUUACCCGCAGAAGAAGCACCGGCUAACUCCGGGCCAGCAGCCGCGGUAAUUC